CACUGCUAUCGAGGUGGGACUAAGACCUGCUAGUCGAACGAACAGAACUAUGUCUGUAAGUGGCGUACUGCUCAGUAACACGUAGCUAAUCUACCCUUAGGACAUUUAUAACCCCGAGAAAUUGGGGCUAAUGAAUGAUAGAUGUGAUGUCCUGGAAUGGUAUUACGUCUAAAUGUAUCUCAUACAUGUUUGGUAUACGCCUAAGGAUGGGGCUGCGGCCGAUCAGGCAGUUGGUGAGGUAAUGGCUCACCAAACCUUUGACCGGUACGGGCCAUGAGAGUGGUAGCCCGGAGAUGGACACUGAGACAAGGGUCCAGGCCCUACGGGGCGCAGCAGGCGCGAAACCUCCUCAAUGCACUAACGUGCGAAGGGGUUACCUCGAGUGCUAUCUGAAGAAGGUGGCUUUUCCUUGGUCUAAAACGCCUUGGGAAUAAGAGGGGGGCAAGACUGGUGUCAGCCGCCGCGGUAACACCAGCCCCUCGAGUGGUGGGGAUGAUUAUUUGGCCUAAAGCGUCCGUAGCCGGCCGGAUAAGUUUCCCGUUAAAUCCAACGUCUCAAGCGUUGGACUGCGGGAAAUACUGUCUGGCUAGAGAGUGGGAGAGGUCAGCGGUAUUCUGGGGGUAGGGGCGAAAUCCUUUGAUCCCCGGAGGACCACCAGUGGCGAAGGCUGCUGACUAGAACACGUCUGACGGUCAGGGACGAAAGCUGGGGUAGCGAACCGGAUUAGAUACCCGGGUAGUCCCAGCCGUAAACGAUGCAUGCUAGGUGU
RNAcentral lists this ribosomal RNA (769 nucleotides) under uncultured crenarchaeote. RNAcentral's name for it is "bacterial SSU rRNA". It matches the Rfam family "Archaeal small subunit ribosomal RNA", at positions 25 to 774 of the family's 1478-position model. Lineage: Archaea; Thermoproteati; Thermoproteota. The record is from RNAcentral.